UGACACAGGGAGGUAGUGACAAGAAAUAACAAUACAGGGCAUUAAUGUCUUGUACUUGGAAUGAGUUAAAUUUAAACCCCUUAACGAGUAACAAUUGGAGGGCAAGUCUGGUGCCAGCAGCCGCGGUAAUUCCAGCUCCAAUAGCGUAUAUUAAAGUUGUUGCAGUUAAAAAGCUCGUAGUUGAAUUUCUAGUCAGUUAAUUUGGAGGUCUCCUUCACUUUAGCUGGCUAUUCGACACUGAACCAUGCCGGUUAUUAAGUUAACCCCAUGGAGAAUUGUCAUUUUACUUUGAAAAAAUUAGAGUGUUUCAGGCAGGCAAUUGCCCGGAUAUCUUAGCAUGGAAUAAUGGAAUAGGACUUUGGUUCAUUUUAUUGGUUAUUGAAUCAGAGUAAUGAUUAAUAGGGACAGUUGGGGGCAUUAGUAUUUAAUUGUCAGAGGUGAAAUUCUUGGAUUUAUUAAAGACUAACUUAUGCGAAAGCAUUUGCCAAGGAUGUCUUCAUUAAUCAAGAGCGAAAGUUAGGGGAUCAAAGACGAUCAGAUACCGUCCUAGUCUUGACUAUAAACUAUACCGACUCAGGAUUGGCCAUGUUUAAACUUGGUCAGCACUGUAUGAGAAAUUAAAGUCUUUGGGUUCUGGGGGGAGUAUGGUCGCAAGGCUGAAACUUAAAGGAAUUGACGGAAGGGCACCACCAGGAGUGGAGCCUG
RNAcentral lists this ribosomal RNA (705 nucleotides) under uncultured apostome ciliate. RNAcentral describes it as "bacterial SSU rRNA". It matches the Rfam family "Eukaryotic small subunit ribosomal RNA", at positions 452 to 1185 of the family's 1831-position model. The record is from RNAcentral. Lineage: Eukaryota; Ciliophora; Oligohymenophorea; Apostomatida.